This 294-nucleotide RNase P RNA is filed under the name uncultured Campylobacter sp. Its description in RNAcentral is "Bacterial RNase P class A". It matches the Rfam family "Bacterial RNase P class A". From Rfam's summary of the family: Ribonuclease P (RNase P) is a ubiquitous endoribonuclease, found in archaea, bacteria and eukarya as well as chloroplasts and mitochondria. The record is from RNAcentral. Lineage: Bacteria; Pseudomonadati; Campylobacterota; Epsilonproteobacteria; Campylobacterales; Campylobacteraceae.
UCGCGUGCAAACGAGGAAAGUCCGAGCUGCGUUAAGACGAUGGUUGCGUCUAACGGACGCCAGAAGUGAUUCUAGGGAAAGUGCAACAGAGAGCAGUCAGCCAGUUUUGGUCAAGGUGAAACGGCGGGGUAAGAGCCCACCAGCGCGUAUGGAGACAACGCGGCUAUGCAAACCCAACCAGCAGCAAGAAAGGGUGGUUUAAGUCUUAAAAUAAACCUUUCGCUUGAUUUUGUCGGCAACGACAAAACUAGACAAAUGACCGCACAAACAGAACUCGGCUUACAGUCGCACUCC